This 785-nucleotide ribosomal RNA is filed under the name uncultured bacterium. RNAcentral's name for it is "bacterial SSU rRNA". It matches the Rfam family "Bacterial small subunit ribosomal RNA", at positions 28 to 812 of the family's 1533-position model. The record is from RNAcentral.
GACGAACGCUGGCGGCGUGCCUAACACAUGCAAGUCGAGCGGAGACAUGUUGUGGAAGUUUUCGGAUGGAAGCGAUAUGUUUAGCGGCGGACGGGUGAGUAACGCGUGAGCAACCUUUCUUUGACAGGGGGAUAACGUACCGAAAGGUACACUAAUACCGCAUAAGGCCACAGCACCGCAUGUGCAGGGGUGAAAGGAGCAAUCUGGUCAAGGGUGGGCUCGCGUCCGAUUAGCUAGUUGGUGAGGUGACGGCCCACCAAGGCGACGAUCGGUAGCCGACCUGAGAGGGUGAUCGGCCACAUUGGAACUGAGAUACGGUCCAAACUCCUACGGGAGGCAGCAGUGGGGAAUAUUGGGCAAUGGGGGGAACCCUGACCCAGCAACGCCGCGUGAAGGAAGAAGGCCUUCGGGUUGUAAACUUCUAUCCUUGGUGAAGAGGAGAAGACGGUAGCCAAGAAGGAAGCCCCGGCUAACUACGUGCCAGCAGCCGCGGUAAUACGUAGGGGGCAAGCGUUGUCCGGAAUGAUUGGGCGUAAAGGGCGUGUAGGCGGCGAUUUAAGUCUGGAGUGAAAGUCCUGCUUUUAAGGUGGGAAUUGCUUUGGAUACUGGAUGGCUAGAGUGCAGGAGAGGUUAGUGGAAUUCCCAGUGUAGCGGUGAAAUGCGUAGAGAUUGGGAGGAACACCAGUGGCGAAGGCGACUAACUGGACUGUAACUGACGCUGAGGCGCGAAAGUGUGGGGAGCAAACAGGAUUAGAUACCCUGGUAGUCCACACUGUAAACGAUGA